This 22-nucleotide small nuclear RNA is filed under the name Arabidopsis thaliana (thale cress). RNAcentral describes it as "snRNA_13819". Lineage: Eukaryota; Viridiplantae; Streptophyta; Magnoliopsida; Brassicales; Brassicaceae. The record is from RNAcentral.
ACAAAUUAAGAUAGUUUUUCCA